This 254-nucleotide ribosomal RNA is filed under the name uncultured bacterium. RNAcentral's name for it is "partial 16S ribosomal RNA". It matches the Rfam family "Bacterial small subunit ribosomal RNA", at positions 524 to 776 of the family's 1533-position model. The record is from RNAcentral.
UACGUAGGGUGCGAGCGUUGUCCGGAAUUAUUGGGCGUAAAGAGCUCGUAGGCGGUGUGUCGCGUCGGCCGUGAAAACCUGUAGCUUAACUGUGGGCUUGCGGUCGAUACGGGCAUCACUGGAGUUCGGCAGGGGAGACUGGAAUUCCUGGUGUAGCGGUGAAAUGCGCAGAUAUCAGGAGGAACACCGGUGGCGAAGGCGGGUCUCUGGGCCGAUACUGACGCUGAGGAGCGAAAGCGUGGGGAGCGAACAGG